Long non-coding RNA from Pimephales promelas (fathead minnow), 1179 nucleotides. RefSeq lists it as uncharacterized. Lineage: Eukaryota; Metazoa; Chordata; Actinopteri; Cypriniformes; Leuciscidae. The record is from RefSeq and is a predicted model, not a curated record.
AGGAAAUUGGAGGGAAACGUCAGAGACAGUGAUUCAGUCCGUCACCACUUUUCCAUUUUUAAUCGAUGACCUGUAAGCUGCCAACAUCACUCUUGACGCAAAUGCUUAUCCUAAAGGAUAUCCCAGCAUUCCUCUCACAUCAAUCACGUGUGUGUCAGGUCUUAUUUUUCAGGUGAUGAACCAAAACCCUGUCUACUGGUGCAAGAAAUGACUCUGAUCAUUGUUAUUGUGAGACUUGACUGAUCAUCUUCUGAAGAAAACAGGACUGUUUCCACAUGCAAAAGUUGCCGGCACAAUGCUAAUGUGUUUUUGAGUUGUUCUGAAGAGGUUUUAAUGCAUUUCAGAGCUAGAGUAAUAGUAAGGCACACACUCUUUGACUAUGAAACAUGACUGUCUGCUCUCUUCACUGUAAACAGUGAGGCCUCGACUGGGUUAAAGGGAAAACUCGAUUAUCCCCGGAGUCCAGCGAUGUUUUUUUGGAGGACAUCCAGUCUGUGCCUGUUCCACUGGAGCUCUGAAAAACAUCCCGGCCCGAUCGGCACACCUUGCAUGAUUCAAGACCAGGCGGUGGUCGUUUAGCAUUGGUCAUUUUGAUAUAAGAUCUGUAUAUGCAUGAGUGUUUACAUUGGCAGGCGUUAUGCACAAAAUCCUUAAAGGAGGCGUUUCUGUUACUGAAACAAAGCUUAUGUGACUUGAAAUAUAGAGCAUAUGGAGUCUAUAAAUAUAACUGUACUGUUAUGCUAAUUCCAAUGUGUUUUACAGAUUUACGAGAAAUAACCGUUUGUUCAGAAAUGGUCUUUUUGUGUUCAGCAUGAGGGUGAGUAAAUGCCUGAAAUGUUCAUUUGAUGUGCGUUUGGCAAGAGCUCCCCAGCUGUGAUCAUAUCAUGCAUGAGGACAUCAGAACUAUCUCAGUGGAUGAAAACGAGCUAUAUUUAUCUGAAAUAAAGAGGAAACCAUGAAGACUUAUGGUUCCCUCCAGAUUGUAUAAUGUUGCUUUUAAGUUUAUGAGUGAAAUAAGGUCUGUGCUAAACAUAACUUGAGGAAAUUUGAAGAUUUUGUUCUGCAAUGUAAACUGCACACACUUUCUAUCUAGUUACUUAUUAGAAACUAUGAUUUAAAUGGGUGGUAAAAUGCCAUUUUCAUAAGAUGUCCCCAGAGUGUGUGAAGUUUAAUCACAAA